RNAcentral lists this ribosomal RNA (321 nucleotides) under uncultured eukaryote. Its description in RNAcentral is "partial 18S ribosomal RNA". It matches the Rfam family "Eukaryotic small subunit ribosomal RNA", at positions 1470 to 1796 of the family's 1831-position model. The record is from RNAcentral.
CCCUUAGAUGUCCUGGGCCGCACGCGCGCUACACUGACAUGUUCAACAAGCCUCCUAGUUCGACAGGAUUUGGGAAAUCUUUGAACGCAUGUCGUGGUAGGGAUAGAUCAUUGCAAUUAUUGAUCUUGAACGAGGAAUUCCUAGUAAACGCGAGUCAUCAGCUCGCAUUGAUUACGUCCCUGCCCUUUGUACACACCGCCCGUCGCACCUACCGAUUGAAUGUUUCGGUGAAGAUUCCGGAUAGGACUUUUUUGAUUUAUUUCAAUUUUGUCUUAAAAGCUAUCUAAACCUCAACAUUUAGAGGAAGGUGAAGUCGUAACA